Molecule: long non-coding RNA, 3312 nt
Filed under: Homo sapiens (human)
Lineage: Eukaryota; Metazoa; Chordata; Mammalia; Primates; Hominidae
Description: non-protein coding lnc-MDGA1-1:2
Source: RNAcentral
ACUUCGUUCCGCGCCUCAAAGGCGGAGUGCGGGGCUGUGGGAGAAAACGAGAGCCUCGGGCUGUCGCCCGGCGACGGGCGGCUGAGGCCUUCGUAUUCUUAGAACUUUUAGAAUCUGAAGCAAACUUAUCUUCCCCCUGUCUGAAGAAGGGGAGCAGGUUUCUGAGUACUCCGGGGCGCGGUGCCUCCCCCUAAACGCGAAUGGUGCGCUCCAAGCGGGAGGGGGAGGAGCAGAUUAGUUGUGUAGGGUAAAUUGGGCCAGUCCCAGAGUGGCGGCGCAUGCGCCCGUAGAACCCGUAACCGAGUGCGAGGAGGGGCCUGGGGGAGCAAUGCCAAACGCGGAAGUGGAGCUCUGGCUUCCCGGGGGCGUCGGAGUCAAGGUCCCUGGAGCUGCCGCUCUGGCUCCUGGGCGAUUCCGGGGAGCCAUUCUCCCCAAUUUGCCAACUCCCUGGGCAUCUCUCUCUCUCUUCCUGGUCCCGCCACACCCAAACAACUCUUAUAGUUCCACCCGGUAUACUGGUCUCUUGACAGGAACUUUUGGGAAAUGCCCCUCCCCCAGCCCCUUGUCUGGGGCAACUUCCUUGUCUCUUCUCCCCCACCGGUGUUGGGGAGUUCCUUGUCUCCACUCCCAACCACAGAGCCACAAGUACAUUAUCUAUGCCCAGGCGAGUCCCUAUGCCCAGGCUAGGAGAGCCGCACUUCUUCCUACAGCUGACACGUUUGGUUUUUGGAGGGGAAAGGGGAGCUGUAGCUGAAUCAGUAAUGGAAAUUGGUUCUUCCAUCUCUGCUUCUCUCUACAAAGCUGCUUUAUAAUCUCGGCAGAGCUGUUUUCACUGCUUUUUUGGGAACGUAAUCCAGGUUUACCCAGCCUCACUUCAAGAACAAACAGAGACUAAUUAGUAUCUAUGAAUCCCAAUCCCCAGGAGAAAGAAACUGAUUGGUUCGAUUUAUGUCCGCUUGUGUACUCUUGGUACAAUCACCUUUGACCAACAGGGCAGUUAUGUAGUCAGGUCUUUUUGUUUUGUAAAGCAGACAUGGCUGCCAGAACCCCAUCUUUGUAGGCUAUGUUCUCAAAGUUAUGUACUUGGCAAAGAUUCCAAAAAAUGUCCACCACAGACCAUAAAGGAGUAAAUUGCAGCUGAACUUCAAAAGCAUAAAGAACAAUUGACAUGUUAAGGAUUUUCAACAGACUGACUCCUACUUAAACAAAUUCAGACCUGAAUUUAAAUGGAACUCCUUCAAAGAAGUCAUCCCUGACCCAAGCCCCAAUCAAAAUUUGGUGGCCCCAUUAUUAUCUUACAUGGCACUCUUUUUCUUUAUAGUACCUAUCAUAGUUUAAAUAUGUAUUUGUGAGUCUCCUCUCCAAAAAUCAUGUCUGUUUUGUUUACUGUGAUAUACACAAUACUCAAGGUGCAUUUGGGAGGCGUUCAAUAAAUGUUGUAUGAAUAAAAGCACAAUAAUUUGUUAGUCAAUGUGAGACCCACAAAUGGAUUGGAGUCAUAGUUAGACAAUCCUGGGGGAAUGUCUUAGUUACCAACCCACCCUCCCUAGAAGACAUUGAAGCUCUCUGCUUUUUUUUUUUUCUGACCUCAUUCAUCACAAGGCUGCCAGCUUUUUUGUCACACUGAAGUUGUAUGAGAUGAGACAGUAUUUAGCUGCUGCUUAUGACGUUCCUAGCCAGAUAACUCUUUACUCUUAGUUCCCAGUGUCUCUAUCUAUAGAGCCCUUGAUCCAAUUCCUAUAACAAGCCCACUUAGUUGACUGAAAGCUCAGAGAGGACAUAAAAUUUCAGGGCAUCAUCAAAUUAGGGGAGCAAAGUGUGGGGGUAAUUGGCAGAGUGCUUUUGUCGUAAUUGUCUUGACUAUUUUCUGUCGUGUAUUAUGUUCCAGAUGAACCUGUGAUGUGACUCCUGGGAGUAGUUUGCAAUCACCAUUGGCCCAAAAGGAGCCAUCUACGUGCUCAGUGGGGUCUAGUAAAGGAUAAUAUUAAUUCUUCAGCAGCCAGAGCUUUUGAAGUAGGAACUGAGGGUGUAUAGAAAAGAGCCUGGUAUGAUUCAAGGUCAGGAGCAAACAAUGGCUGCCUUCUUGGUAAGAAUUCAAAAGACCUACUUAGCCCUGGAAGACUUUACCAAAAAGAAGGGACUUGUAGAGACCUGAGAGAAAGCAGAUGAUCCUCCACUCUAAUUCUAAUCCCUACCCUUGAAACUCACUCUCAGUUCAAAACUUGUCAUCAUUAUAAUCCAUCCUAACCUAGUAUUAGCCCCAAUGUCCAAUCCAAACUCUAGAUUUAAUUCUAAUCCUAAUAUUAUCUGUAAAAUUUAAUCUCAGUUCCCAACUCUAGUUUUAUGAGCUUAACAAAGGCUCUUUGCCUUGCCACUGAGUUAUUUUCCCUAGCUCCUUUUUCUUGGGUCCCUUGACCCUGACUGACGAAUGAGAGCAGAGAACCCUAUAACAUCCUGGACCUCUGGAGAGAAUGAGAGCCAAUUUCAAUAAUCCAGGUUGGAUCCAAGGCCUUGGGCUGCCAGGAAAGAGAAAGUGGGGCAUCUGUGACCAGAGCAGGAGGCAGAGACCCUGCCCAGUCACAUUUCUUGUUGCCUAAUUCAGGGACUACUAAGCCUCUGAAAGUCCAGAAUACAUGCACUCCAAGUCACCUAUGUAGACUCAGGAAUGUGAGGUACAGUUGGCCUACAGUGGAAGACCUGAGACCCCUCUGCAAAACAAUAUGGUUAGAUUAGACGAGUGACCCCUCUGCAAAACAAUAUGGUUAGAUUAGACGAGUGGCUUUUACGCUAUGUUCUCAGAGAGCAAGAAUUCUGAGUUUUGCUCUCCUCUUUCAUUUGAAUUUGGCUUUCCAAGGGGAUGAGAAAUUUUUUUUCAAAAGGCAUUGAACGAGAUCCUCUCUAAGGUUCCUUCUGGCCCUUGAGUUUUCUGAUGUGCAGUUGAUUCUUUUAGUCACUUAUGGUCCAGUUGGCAUGGAUAAACUCUCAGAGCCAAGGGAAAAGAAGGGCAACCAAGCAUACCAUCUCCAGCCUGUCUCAGGAAACUAAAAAUGAAUUAAAUAAAAUGAAGAGUGCGACGGGGAGAAAGGGAGGAGGGGAGAAAAUGCUGCCAUUUCACGUCCCAUGUUCCUCACGUUCAUGAAGCAAUUGCUGAUUUCCCUGCUGCUCACACCCAUCUUGGUGUGAAAUUUGAUUUUGCUGACUUUUAAAUUUAUUUUCAAGAAUGGAAAUAAUUGUUUUUCCUAGAAAUACUUGACCUUUGUGGGGAAAAAGAAAUUCAAACAAUGAGAAAGCAGAAGUCCUCCCUAAUACCAU